CCUACGGGUGGCAGCAGUCGAGAAUCAUUCACAAUGGGGGAAACCCUGAUGGUGCGACGCCGCGUGGGCGAAGAAGUAUUUCGGUAUGUUAAGCCCUAUCUGCAGGGAAGAAGAAAAGACGGGACCUGCGUUAGGAGCACCGGCUAAAUACGUGCCAGCAGCCGCGGUAAUACGUAUGGUGCAAGCGUUAUCCGGAUUUACUGGGUGUAAAGGGAGCGCAGGCGGCACGGCAAGCCUGAUGUGAAAGCCCGCGGCCCAACUGCGGGACUGCAUUGGGAACUACCGGGCUGGAGUGCCGGAGAGGUAGGCGGAAUGCGUAGUGUAGCGGUGAAAUGCGUAGAUAUUAGGAGGAACACCAGUGGCGAAGGCGGCUUACUGGACUGUAAAUGACGCUGAGGCUCGAAAGCGUGGGGAGCAAACAGGAUUAGAUACCCUUGUAGUC
This 442-nucleotide ribosomal RNA is filed under the name uncultured bacterium. Its description in RNAcentral is "partial 16S ribosomal RNA". It matches the Rfam family "Bacterial small subunit ribosomal RNA", at positions 338 to 795 of the family's 1533-position model. The record is from RNAcentral.